GGGAGGAGGAGGAGGAGGAGGAGGGAAAAAGAGGGAGGGGGAGCGGGGCGGAGGGAUGGAGCCAGGAGGAGGAAAUAAAUAAAUAAAACAAUAACCUCCGCGCCAAUAAGAGCGAGGGAGAGAGAAAGACGCGGCCAGAGAGCCACCGGUGCCGGUUCGCUCGCCUCUGAGAGGCUCUCCUCGCGCGCGUGUGUGUGCGUGAGUGUGUAUUUGCUGGGACUGGAGCUGGAAAGUUCAAACUAAACGUGUUGCUCUCCCCGGUUGCCGAGGCCGCGCUGAGGCUGCCCAACUUCUCUGGGCCAAGUGACUGGCGUGGCCCAGAGCCCUUGGCGCGUCAGAGGCUGCUCGGCCCUGCGCCCGGGCGCAGCGGCGGCGGCGGCGGCGGCGGCUCUGCUCACCCCGGGAGGGAGCCCGUGGCCAGGGCUGGACCCUCGCCCCGCCACCUCCAGCGACGCUGUCUUCAGCCUCCCCGCCUGGCAACCGCAGAAAGAGUCAGCAAGCAGUGA
Molecule: long non-coding RNA, 506 nt
Organism: Ictidomys tridecemlineatus (thirteen-lined ground squirrel)
Lineage: Eukaryota; Metazoa; Chordata; Mammalia; Rodentia; Sciuridae
Source: Ensembl